RNAcentral lists this ribosomal RNA (322 nucleotides) under uncultured bacterium. Its description in RNAcentral is "bacterial SSU rRNA". It matches the Rfam family "Bacterial small subunit ribosomal RNA", at positions 83 to 422 of the family's 1533-position model. The record is from RNAcentral.
AGCAAUACAGCCGUGGCGCACGGGUGAGUAACGCGUGGGAACAUCCCUUUCAGUUCGGAAUAACAGCGGGAAACUGCUGACAAUACCGAAUAUUCUCUACGGAGGAAAGAUUUAUCGCUGAAAGAUUGGCCCGCGUCAGAUUAGCUAGUUGGUGGGGUAAUGGCCUACCAAGGCUCCGAUCUGUAGCUGGUCUGAGAGGACGACCAGCCACACUGGAACUGAGACACGGUCCAGACUCCUACGGGAGGCAGCAGUGGGGAAUAUUGGACAAUGGGCGAAAGCCUGAUCCAGCCAUGCCGCGUGAAUGAUGAAGGCCUUAGGG